Sus scrofa (pig) is the source of this 15001-nucleotide non-coding RNA. Lineage: Eukaryota; Metazoa; Chordata; Mammalia; Artiodactyla; Suidae. The record is from RefSeq and is a predicted model, not a curated record.
CCUCGCUCCGUUGGUGAAGGCUCUGGCGUUGGCCUGAGCGGUGGUGUAGGUCGCAGACACGGCUCAGAUCCCGGGUUGCUGUGGCUGUGGUGUAGGCUGGUGGCUGUAGCUCCGAUUUAGCCCCUAGCCUGGGAACUUCCAUGUGCCACAGGUGCAAUCCUAAAAAGAAAAAAAAAAUUAUUUUGGCUUUGGGGUGCCAAGCAUACGUUUAUCCCUAAUGGGGGGUUGGUGCACGUUGAAGGGCUAUUAUGACAAAAGUAACAUCUUUGGGGGUCUGCCCGGAUUCUUUUUUUUUUUGGAAAGGAGGCGGAACAGGCCUUGAGUUGGAGGAAACGCUUGCCUAGAUGCCCAGGGCACCUUGGCGUCCCAUCGGCCCCCCGCUGUCCACGGUGACAGGGAUGUCUCCUGUCGAAGGCUGUCUCCUCGGAGAACGGCCCUCCCUGGGCCCUCUGGGGAGAGGGGCAUUGGGGGACAGAGAGCCCACCCUCAGGGCACCGGCCGAACCAUGCACCUGUGUCCUGGGCCCACCAUCCCCCAACGCAGGUGGCACCCGGCCAGCUUGUUCUGUCCUCGGCGUCAGUCCCGCACUGGGCAUUUAGUGGUGCCGGCUGUGUGCCAGAUGCUAUUCCAGGCACUGGCUGUGGGGAGCUGACAGCCAGGAACCCUUGUCUUGAGGACCUUGGGCCCUGGGGAGGGGGACAGAUGCCCCCCAUGUGAUCACGCCUGUCUUGGCAAGAGAGGGCGUUCUGAGGAUGCUUGACCUGGAGUCACGGGGCGGAGUCCCCGGAGCCAGCCCUCCGGGUGCUGCGAGAGCACGCGGGGCAGAGGGGGAGCUUGGAGGGACAGACAGGAAGCCGGUGGGCUGCGAGCAGAGGGGGGGAAGAAGGCUAGACUCUGAGGUCUGAGGUCUGAGGUCUGGCUGUGGUGAGGUCAGGGGGCAGAGGAGCUCACACUUGGGCCUGAAGGCCAGAGAGGCUGUACAGGAUCCUGGCCGCCGUGGGCGUGACUGGAGGGUUUCCGCAGGGGAGCCGCAAGCCUGACUCUUGAGGCAUUGGCUCUUGUGGUUUCGGAGGCUGGGAAUGGUCUGCCGUCUGCCUGUGGAGACCCAGGAAGGCCGGCUUGGUGAUGUCAGUUGGUCUGCGUCUGCAGGCGUGAGCCCCAGGGGGGCGGACGGUGGAAACCCCAGUCUGAGGGAGGAGGGGCUGGGAUGAGCUGUGCCAGCUUGCGAAGGGGGGCAGGAGAAGGGCACGUGUUCUGUUCAGGCCUCGUGGCUGGACGGGGUCCACCCGCUCAGGGAGGCCCACCUCACCGCGCCCACCGACUCAGAGCUGAUCUCACCUGCAAACACCCCCAGACUCCCCCAGAGGUCAAGUCGCAUGUGCGACCCGGGGGCACACAGCCGUGAACGUCACAGGCAGCCGUGCAUGGUUUGGGUGGCAGUGGGAUUGAGGACCAGGGCACCCACAUCCUGGAAAGGCUCCUGUUGUCGGCUGGACAGCAGAGCUUCUGUGCCAGCUCCUGGGACGCAUGAACAAGCUCCCAGAUUGAGGGGGACGGGAAGGACUUGCCACGCCUGCGGCUGGAGACCCCCCUUGCCGGGCCUGGCUGCCCGAGGUCGGGGCUGGCCUUGGGGUGGGGAUCCAGCCGCCAGCACGGCUGAGCAGCAGGCCAUCGCUGCCCAGUGGGCUUUGACCUGAGUCUUCCCCCCUAGUGACCUUGGGCUGGUCCCCCGGUCUCCUCUGUCUGCGGGGAUGGGACCACAGGCCCGAGCACGGGGAGCAAGGUCUGGCCAGCGCCACCUUUAAGCUUGUGGCCUGAGCAGUCUCUGCCAGGGCCUGGUGACUCGCUGCUCUCCUGGGGCACACGUUCCAUCCCCAGGGGGUGGGGGGGUCGGGGGGGGGGAUCACGGAGCCCCGCCUCUUUGCCUUCGUUUCCUGUGGGAAUAAACAAACGCCAGCUGGAUGCGACACACAGGCUGUGUACACAGAGCUUGCUCUGUACGAGGAGUCAGCCACCUUCACUGCAUUUGACAGGGACUCAAAGGCAGUCCCUAGGGGACAGAUGUGCAUUUAGGAAGCAAACAAACAAAGGGAAGCCUUGAACGUACGAAAAAACAGUCAGUGUACGAGACCCUAUCAUGAAAGGACUGAGGUGAUAGGAUCGUCUCAGCAGAAGCAGAAGGAACACUUGCCAAAACCCAGCACUUUCCGUGAUGAAAACACCCAGCGCUCAGAAGAGGAAGGAAUGCCCCCCACCAGGUAAGGGGCAUCUACGGACCCACAGCCAGCAUCACACCUGGUGGUCAAAGUCUGAGACCAUCCCCUCAGCUGAAGAGCGAGACAAGGACCUCACUCUGCCACUUUUAUCCCGCAGUGUCCUGGAGGUUCUGGCCAGAGCGUUCAGGCAAGAGGAAGGGAACAUAUCGGAAAGGAAGGCACGAAUGGCCUCUGUUUGCAGAUGACACGAUGCUGUGUCUAGAACAGCCUAAGACACCCACACACAUGGAGUUCCCAUCAUGGCGCAGCGGAAACGAAUCCGACUAGGAACCAGGAGGUUGCAGGUUCGAUCCCUGGCCUCGCUCAGUGGGUUAAGGAUCUGGCGUUGCCAUGAGCUGUGGUGUAGGUCGCAGACAUGGCUUGGAUCUGGUGUUGCUGUGGCUGUGGUGCAGGCCGAUGGCUAUAGCUCAGAUUGGACCCUAGCCUGGACCCCAUCCCUAUGCCUCAGGUGCGGCGCUCAAAAAGACAAAAGACUAAAAUAAAUAAAUAAAAAUUAAAAAAUCAUCUUAGAAAAAAAAAAGAAAUCCAUAUACACAAAAUUCAAACUAAUAGGUGUCAGGAUACAAGAUCAAUAUGCAAAAAUCAAUUUCAUUCCUAUACAACAGCAAUGAGCAAUCUAAACAUGGAACUAAGAAGGCAGGCCCUGGAGUUCCCUGGUGGUCUAGGGGUUAGGAUUUGGCACUUUCACUGAUGUGGCCCAGGUUCAGUCCCUGGUCUGGGAAGUGAGACCCCUCAUCAAGCUGCAAAAAAAAAAAAAAAAAGAAAGAAAGAAAGAAAGAAAGAAAUAGGAAAAAAAAAAGACAGACAAUCCCAUGUGUAACAGCAGCAAACAGAACAAAACAUAUUGGAAUAAAUGAUGUAGCAAAGAAACAUAAGACUUCUGCACUGAAAAUUGCAAAACAUUGUCAAAAGGAAUGAAAGCUUUAACUAAAUGGAAAGAUCCUUGGGGUUCACAGACUUGAGACUGUUUUGUGCCAAUACUCCCCCAACUGAUCCCUGGCUCCAAUGAAACCCCUGUCAAAAUCCCAGCUGGCUUUGAGAAGCUGAUCUUAAAAUGAUGUGGGAAUGCACGACCCAGAUUUGCCAAAACCAUCUUGAAAAAGGAGAGCAAAGUUGUUGGACCACUUCUGGAUGCAGACGUACUGCACAGCUUACAGCGAUCAAGGCAGUGUGGUACUGAGGCAAAGACGGUACUGAUCCGGAUCAAUGGGCUAGAGCUGAGACUCCAGGAAUAAACCCUCACAUUCAUGGUCAGUCGGUUUGGACAAGGGCGCCAAGACAACGCAGUGAGGAGGGGAACUGCCUUUUCACCAGCAGGUGCCGGAAACAGCUGGAUGCCCCCAGGCAAAAGAAUGAAGCUGCACAGAGUUUCCGUGUGGCUGAGGGGGUUAAGGAUCUGGCAUUGUGACUGCUGUGGCACACGUUUGAUCCCUGGCCCGGCAAAAAGAGAGAAGAAUAAAGUUGAGUCCCUACCUCACACCAUACACAAACAUUAACUCAAAAUGGACCAUAGCCUUCAAUGUAAAAGCUGAAACUAUAAAACCCUUAGAGAAAAACAUUAGUGUUUGGGACCAUGUGUUAAACAACCAUCUCUUAUAAACGACCCCAGAAGCACAGCAAAGUAGGAGCAAGUAGGUCAGUUGGACCUGGCUAAAAGUUUGAACUUUCGUGUAUCAGAGGAUACGGUGUGUCGACGUGUGGGGGUUUCAGAAUCACUUGUUUAUGGAGUCGUUCAGUGAAGUUAAGUGACGUCGUUGUGAGCCACUCGAUGAUGGGGCAAAGACCAAAAAAAAAAAGGAAGAAGUUGUUUUUAGAAGUAUAGUUGUCUGGAGGUAAGAAUGACGCGAGCUGUGUCCCGGUGGCGGCAGAGCUCCGCUGCUCUGCCGGGAACCAGGCCGGGGGCUUAUCAGUCAGAACGUGUGACCAGCUCUGGUGUGAGGACAUGAGGACUUGAUGGGCCGCAGUGACAAACAGGGCAGCAGUCUCUCCAAGGAGGUCAGCCUGCCGGCCAGCAGCCGCUCCGUCGUUCCCUAGCAACACGCCCUAGCAACAGGGGACUUUUAUUUUCACGCUGGCGGCGGGGCAUCCGCCGACAUCCGCUUUAGGAGAAACGGAAACUUCGUGCAAAAGGUACAUCUCAACUGAAUUUGGGCUGUAUUCCUUUCAUCUCCCUUUGCCUGGAACAGCAAUUCAUCUGUCAUUUGCUUGGAGCAUGUUGUUGCUUUAUUGGCUUGUUAAGGGACAUUCGCAUGCAUGCCUGUGACUGCGUAAUUCCCGCAGUGACCCUGUGUUAAAGAAACUAUUGGCAGAGACGGUCUCCGGCUCCGAGCGUAAAAUCUGCUGCCACUGACACGAAUACCACCAAGGGGGUGGAGCAACACCCCGCGAGAGGGAGACGAUGUCUGCAGAUCCUGCAUCUGAUCAGCGAUGCAUCUGGAACAGGUAGGAGCUCCGAACCCACCAAGGCAAGCAACCCAGCGUGGAAAAGGACAGCGGAGCAGCGGAAGAAACAGUUUCCAAAGCAGAUCUCAUCCAUAAGCGCAGGAGCGAUCCCAACGCCCCGAAGAAGCAGGAAGGUGCACAUCAGAACCCCUGUGAGGAGUCCCUCCCCACCCGCCAGGACAGGCCAUCCCCAGAAAGACGUGACAGAAGGAGCGUUUCUAGGGGCGUGGAGAGGCCAGAGCCUUCAAGCGCUGCUGGCGGAUGCAGGCAUUUUGCACAACAGUCGGGCAGUUCCUCAAAAUGCUCAGCCGCGGGACGCGGCAAUGCCUGCGAGAGAACCCUGAUGAAUUUCUCCAAGAGUCUGACACCCGCAGGGGACCGCGUUUCCAUCCUCGGAGCCAGGUGUGCGGGAUCCGGGGAGGACGGGCUCCUGGCCUUCUUCUCCAGCGCAGCCCGGUCCAUCCCAGCCAGGCCACCCUUCUGGCGAGUGAGACAGCCGUGCGGGGGAGCUGGCCAAGGUGGACAGACAGCGGCCGACACCCUGACACGGCAGCGAGCCCCGCCGAGCCCAGGCAAGCUGAGCCCCCCUGAUGCCGCACAGCGUAGCGCCCGGCCUCAUGGUGACUUUUGUGGGUAUUUGUUGACUUGGGUGUUUUGUUGUGGCAGCACCUGCUUCCACGGGCCUUUUCUGUCAUUGUCGGGAGGGACCAGAUGAUGCGGUGGGAACAAAUAAGCCCCAGACCUAAAAUGAUGUGGCGCCGGCUGAGCAGACAGGCUGCUGGCCGUCGAGCGGAGGGCAGAGGUGGGGACAAAGUGAUCCUCGAUGCUGGGACAGCGCUUGGUGAAAAUCCAUGGCCACGUGGCAGGUGGACUGCGAGGGAACCGAGCUGACGGCCACGGCAGAAAGUGGAAAACAGAACCUGUGUGGGUGUGUGUCCCGUGGGGGUGUGUCCCGUGGGUGUGACCUGUGUGCGUGUGUCCUGUGGGUGUGUGGGGGUGUGUCCCAUGGGGGUGUGUCCCGUGGGUGUGACCUGUGUGCGUGUGUCCUGUGGGGGUGUGUGCGUGUGUCCCGUGGGGGUGUGUCCCGUGUGUGCGCUGGGGGCCGUGGCUGUGCUGUGGGAAGAGCAGAACAAGGAGGAGUAAGAUUGGGAAAGAUACCCCGUUUGCAGGCGAGAAACAAAAGUGGGUCUGGACACGGAUAUGGAAAUUCAGAAUCAUGCAAGGCUGGACGUCAGCAGCUUCCAGAAUUAGGAUGUUAAGAGUUCGGCGACAGAGGCCGGGAACAGCCUCUGCGCCGGGGCCAGGGAGGUGGAGGUCAGAGAGGGGUAAGGCCUGCACCUCGAGCCCAGAGCCCUGGCGGCUGCUGUCGCUGCGGGAGGAGCGGGAGCCGCCGGCCCCGGGCCUUCCCUCGCCUGCGGGAGCCGCUGGUGGCGCGGGCCUCGUGGCUCUGGGGUCGGCCGAGGGGUGUGGGGAAGGGACAGCCACGCACCCCCUUGUCCCGUCUUGUCCCAUCUUCCUUCUGUCCCAGCCUCACAGCUGCCCCAGCCUCAGUCCGGCAGCUGCCCCUCGUCACGGUCCCCAUCCUAGACGCCCAGACGCGGGGACACGGCGCCCCUCACCCUCAGCUGGACACUUGGUUUUGCCCAACACACACACGCACACGCACACACGCACACACGCCCUUGUGCACACACACACACACGUGCGCACACACCCAGCUGCCCCCCCACCUAUGUGCCUACACAACCGUGCGCACAAUGCACACCCAUGCUCACACCUAUCUGCACGCGCACGCAUGCACGCCCACACAUGUGCGCACACGCGCAUCAGACCUUGCCCGACGACCCCGCCCUUGCUGUCCCCAGGGCUGCCCAGAGGGGUGCGGGGAGGAGAGAGGGUUUGUCUCCCUUCCGUGGGACCUGCCAGCUCCCAGCCGAGGAGAGGCAGACACCGCUGCCACGCUGGACAGAUGGGUCUGGAGCCCUGCUGUGUGUCGGGGGCCACCCCCCGGACACCUGCGGCCUGUGUGUGGGGGGGGCGGCUGCGUGACCUCUGCCCCCAGCCUGGUGAGGCCUCUGCCCGGGCCCGGGGCCUGGCUGCAGCAACCACGGUGCCCACCCUCUCCCUCCCAUCCCCACGGACGUGCAGCCCCCUCUGGUCUGAGAGCGGAAGCCUUUGCCUUCCAGGGUCACCCUGACCCGUCUGAAGAGGCACGAGGACUCUGCCAGCCGCACGCGAGCAGGAGGGCAGGCUGCAGGUCGCGGGCACAGCAGGACCAGAGCACCUCCGGGGGGCGUUCGAAAGGUUGCCCCUUCCUGCCGCUGGCCAGGACCCCAGUGCUGCGCCCUGGAUGGUGCACAGCUUAUGUCCUGCCUUCUGCCUCCCACUGUCCUUCCCUCGUGCAGGGUGGGUGGGGAGGGGGCUCACGGGCCCAGGGGUCCCCUCUGAGGGCUAGGCCUGUGUCCUCGUGUGACGGCUGGGACGCUCCAGGGGCAGGACUGAGUCAGCGCCCGCCAGGCACUCAGACCAGCACUUGGGGGGCCCCUCCCAUCCCUGGGGGCCAGGGGUGGCGCGGCCGGGCCUCCCCCUUCACGUCCUCAUCUGUGGGACUGUGACGUUUUCACCUAUAGGAGGGGCUGUGUCAACAUGCAGGUGACGGGACCAGCGCUGCACGCCCAGGCGAAGCUGUAGCACCUGCCAGUACGUUGCGUGUCACCUCCCAGGGCCUCCCUGGGGGCUUUUGUCCAGCACCGAGAACCUGAGCGACCAGCGCACACCCAGGUGGGAAGGAAGAGGCCGGGCUGCCACACGAAGGCUCCUGGGGACGGAAGCCAGGCAGAGCCGUCAUACCAUCUGGCUGCAGCUCCUGGAGAAUUUGCCGGAACCCUCUGGGGAGGCGGGUCAAGGACCAAGCAGAGCCAGGCCAGCCUUGCCGGGGUGCCCGGAGGAUGGCGAACGUGGGGCCUGUCCCUCCACUCCUGGCCACGAGACCGUGUCCACCAAGGUCCAGGAUGCCUCAGCGUUUGUCCCUUCGUCCCGCCCGCAGGCGGCGAAAGUCAGGAGAAAUGCAGGUGAAAACACUCACCCCCCACAACCCCGAAGGAAGAAACCGUGAUGGGACGUUAAAAACACCGGGCAGGGGCCGAGCGGCGGGAACCGGGCAGGCGCGGGCCCCGCAGACAAGGCGCCGCGCGGCGGCUUGAGCGUCACACAGUCCGGCAAACUGGAUCCCGAGAGGACAAAGCCAAGGGCGCUACCUACAGCUUCAGCAGGGGAUCAAGGUGAUGGUGAGAGUGUGUGAUGACGCUGGCGGUUCUCCAAACGAGGCGCGCGGCGACCACACAGCGCAGCGGGGCCCUCGGGCGUCUCGCCAAAGGAAAGGUACGUUUUCGUCCACUCAGAAAACCGCAGGCAGGUGUCCGCGGCAGCGUUAUUUAGAGCAGCGCCUCGGCCGGGUUUUCCAACAUCCGCCUCUAAUCCCGAGGCUCUGGACACCAGCCAGUGUGUUCUGAUGCCACGGGCCUGGGGUUCGUGUCGGGGCCCCUGGUCGAGGGCCCAGCCCCACAGGACGGCCCCCACUUCCGACGCCAGCCACAUGUCCAGGGCCACCCGUGCUGCUGAUGGACCGGCUGUGGAUCGGGGUUCCCGUCCCCCCUCCCCAGGUUUGAUCACUUCCGGGACCGGCUUGCGGGGCUCAGGAGCGUGUUUUACUUAGUACACCUGCUUGUUAGAAAAGACGCCGCUCAGGAAGAGCGGGGGGGAGAGAUGCAGGGUCGGGGUGGGGUGGGGGGUGGGGGUGGAGCUUCCGUGCCCUCCUGGGUGCGGCCCCCUCCCGGCUGCCCACCAGCCAGAGCCCGUUGGUUUGGGGCUUCUCUAGAAGGUCCCUUUUGGAGGCGUGGCUGGUUAAACCACUGGCCACAGCGACUAACUCAUCCUCCAGCCCCUCUCCCUUCCCCAGAGGUGUCUAAUCGUGUCUGGUCUUUUCGGAGACCCGUGCCCAUCCUGGUGUGACCUAGGGGUCUGCAGCACAGGUCAUCUCAUUAGCUGACAAAGGACAUUUAUUAUUCCAAGAUGCCCAGGGUUUUAGGAACCCUGUGCCAGGGACCAGAACAAAGACUACAAAUUAAUUUGUUUCUUUAAUUUUUUUUUCUUUUUUUAGGGCCGCACCCGUGGCACACGGAGGUUCCCAGGCUAGGGGUUGCAUCAGAGCUGCCGCUGCCAGCCUACAUCACAGCCACAGCCACGCAGGAUCCGAGCCGUGUCUGCGACCUACACCACAGCUCACGGCAAGACCGGAUCCUUAACCCACGGAGCGAGGCCAGGGAUCGAACCUGCAACCUCAUGGAUACUAGUCAGGUUUGUUACUGCUGAGCCACAAUGGGAACUCCUAAUUUGUUUCUUAUAUCACGGGUGCCCUCUGGUCUCUGACUAGAGCCACUAGCAAAACCACUGUAAAAGUCAAGAGAUACUGCAGUUUCCACUGUGGCUCAGUAGGUUAAGAAUCUGACUGCAGCGGCUCAGGUCGCUGUGGAGGCACAGGUUCAGUCCCUGGCCGGAGUGGGUUAAAGGAUCUGGCAUUGCUGCAGCUGCAGUUUGGAUUCAAUCCCUGGCCAGGAACUUCCAUGUGCCGCGGGCGCAGCCAUUAAAAAAAAAGUCAAACCACAUUGGCACGUUGCCAGAGCCAGCCCAGUCCAUCACCCUGUGUGAGAAUGUCCCCAGGGCGAGGCCACACAGGAGCGGGCCUCACGAUGUGGUCAGAUUCCAAAACAGGAGUGCACCAGGCCCCGGCCCGCCUCUCAGGCCCUGGUGUAUGUGAGCUGUGGGACGCCCUUGUCCCCAGCCUCUUUUGGGCACUGACUCCCUUCCUUCCAGCACAAGCCCACGGGCCCAUCCCCUGACCCUUCACCCGCUGCCCACCUCCUCCGCGUGCACCCAGACUCCCGCCCGCGAGAUGGGUAACAGGUUCACAUGGAGCCGGUCUAGAUUGCAGGCCGCUGUGUGCACCCAGAGAGUGCCUGCCCUCAGCCCACUUCCGUCCAAGCAGGUGCGGGGCUCGUGGGCUCUCCGACCCCUGGGGGACGCCGCUGCUCCUGCUGUCGGCCCCAGGUUCGCACAGGGGGGCGGGGGCAGCACCCCCCCCCACACACACACACCUCUUCAGGCCCUGACGUCAGGUUCACAGACAGUGACAGUUUCUCGCCCGAGGUCAUCUCUGUUUCUGGCCCUUGUAGCUGCAGACCUGGUCAUUUUUGGCAUUUUUUUGGUGGUUUUUUUUUUUUUUUUUCUUGCUUUUUUAGGGCCGCACCUGCAGCAUAUGGAAAUGUGGAAGUUGCCAGGCUAGGGGCCGAAUCGGAGCUACAGCUGCCAGCUUGCCCCUGUCCACUCGUGCGGGGUGGGCGCCCUGCGGCCCGUCUCAGCCUCUCAGACCUGCGCUCAGGAGGGCAGCUCUGCCCGUGGCUGGGCGUGAGGCGCGGUCCAGCGAGUGCCUCGUGCUGAGGAAACCAUGGUCGGCCGCCCAGACGCAACACGUCUCUUCCCGUCUGCUCACCGCUUCUGAGCCUCUGCGUCCAGGGUGAGCGUCUUCCUGUCCCCCAGGCCCCCAGCCUCAGCCUGACCCUCCAGCUUCCGGGCACCCCCUGCACCCCAGGGAGCCCGCCCCACAGUCACUUGCCACCUGGGUCUGUAGUUGGUGGCGGCCCCUCUCCUGCUGGCAUUUUGUGCCUCGGAAGCUGUGGACCCAUCACUGCGUCACCGCGGGGGCCCUGUCCACUCACCUCGUGCACCCAGGCGCGUGCCUCAGCUGAGCACAGCAGGCACCUGCUUGCCGAUUCCAGAUUCCAGCGCCUUCUGAACCUGCCGAGGCUUCCCCUGAUGUUCCCGCCUGAGCACCCCCACGCCCCCAGAGUGAUUUCCGUGGGGCCCUCGUGGGCGUCCCUUUAACGGGCCAGGUAUCCGUAGCCUUCAUGCUGCCCUCAUGCUCGUUGCCGCUGCCCACGUGUCAGUAGAAACCCACAUGCAGGACUGUGCCCAGCAUUCAACCCUCCCACCGUGGCCGGCCGGCCGGCAGCCCGCCAGACGGAGGCCUGCGCCCUCCUCCUCCAUCCAGUCUGGCGCCUUCCAGACAGCAGGCAACUGCCGCCCGCAGCUCCUUGAUGGUCAGUGGAGAGCUGUUCGUGGGGCACCGUCUGCUGAAUCCAGCCGCUCCCCGGGCUGCGGGAAGCCUCCCGGGAGGCCAUGGCUCUGUCCCCAGAGUGUUCCUCCCUCGUCCUCUGGACGCUCUGGGCCCUUCAGUUUCUGUGAUCAUUCUCCGUCCUCCGACCCCGGGGUGGCUCCAUGGGGUCUGACGACAAGGUGCUAAACCCCCCGAAUGGAGGUUCCCUUGUCCAGAGUUCGGGCGUCGUGGCUGGGAGGGUCCCGUGGGCUCCAGCCCCGGUCUCGGCGGCGUGUGGCCAUCGCACAAGACCUGCCCGCCCGGCGCCUCUGCUUCUGUUUCCCCUGCUGGUGGGGGGCUCAGGCCCUCUUACUGGUUCCCAUUUAGCUGGGCCAGGGAACCCGGCUCGAAGGGCGGGCUUGCCCGCCUCCUUCGCGAGCUCGGGCAGGGGAAACGGCCCACAGGGGCAGAGCCCGACCCCCAGGCGCAAGCAGGCACCAGAGGCGCCGUCACUUCUCAGGAGCCUGUGCCGACAGCCCCGCUGUCCUCCCAACCCUGACCUUGAGUCCACCAAGCCCGGCUCCUCGCAGUGCUGCCCCUGGGACCUCACCUACAGGGUGUGGUUUCACUGGGGAGGGAAGCGCCCCCGGCUGUGGCCUCAUAUCCGUAAUCCCCAUGUCCUAAAUCAUGAAGUAAAGCCUGGCUGCACCCCUGCCACCCCUCACGCCCCGUACUCCCCCAAACCGCCUUUCCGAUUGCCGGCUCCACCAGCCGGUUGGUUUUGGCUCCAAGGGCCUGGGGGCUUCUGCACCGCGGCCUCCCGGCCCAUGUCCCGACCCGAGCACUGUGCCCACGCUGUUCGAUCCCUGGCCUCGCUCGCUCGGUGCGCUAGGGAUCCAGGGCUGCCGUGGCUGUGGUGUGGGCCGGCGGCGGCUCCCAGAAGGCUCUGGGUCUCCAGCAGACUCUCUUGUCGACUUCGACCUUGAUUGAGCUGCCUGAUCCCGGUCCCCAGGGGCCUCCAGGUCUGCCCCCUCAUUGUCACCUCCGCCCUCGCUGCUCCUUUCAUUCCUCCAAACUGGGGAAAACAGACCAGACUUCUUGGGGGCCCCUAAGUGUUGGGGGUCCCCUGGGCCCCGACCCCGAGAGCUCUGAGUGAAGACCUUUGUUUUGCCCCAUCGACGACCUUUCUCUCAAGCCAUUUCCUAGUCUCCCUCUGAUUUCCACGCCGCCAGGCAGAGUCCCCCGUCUUCCCCAUUUUAUUAUUAGUCAGUUAUGUUUUGAGGAGCGUCUGUGAAACCCAUGGAGCUGAGACAGCAGGUUCUUCCGUCCGCUUUCUUCCUGGGGGGGGGGGCGUGCAAGGGGGCUCCCCGUGCAGUUUGUUCCCACUGCCUGUGAACCUAUAAUUAUUUCAAAAUAAUUGGGAAAAAGUUGCAGGCUGCGAAAUUCGAGCACUUUGAUGAAGUGGAAACGUUGCUAGACAAUGACUGGAUCGAGUACACGCCCGAAGGAAUCGAGCGGAGCAGGUCCCGCGGACUCCCGCUGCGGCUCAGAGGAAACGAACCCGACGAGCACCCAAGAGGAUGCAGGUUCCACCUCUGGCCUCGCUCGGUGGGUUAAGGAUCCCGCGUUGCUGUGGCCGGGGCGCAGGUUGGCGGCUGCAACGCCGAUUUGACCCCUAGCCUGGGGACCUCCCUAUGCUGCAAGUGUGGCCCUAAAAAGACCAAAAGGAAAAACAAACAAACAAAAAGCCUUCAUGGCAACAUCGAGACUGGUGUUUGACCAACUCGCUGGGCACCAAGGCCUGACCGAGUUGACACGAAAUGAGCCAUCACACUGGAUAAAUGUGUGCUCAUCGUAUAAUUCUUUCUGCUUCUUUUCUGUAUUAAUGUUUUCAUUAAAAGGUAGGAGGCAAAGGAUAUUUGUUCACCAAAAGUCACAGUAAAGAAAGUGAAAGUCAAGUCACAAACGGGAGACAGUCUUUAUUUUUGUCUUUUUAGGGCCACACCAGUGGCAUAUGGAAGUUGCCAGGCUACGGGCUGAAUUGGAGCCCCAGCUGCCCAGCCUACACCACAGCCACGGCGCCGCCGGAUCCCUGAGUCAUGUCUGUGGCCUGCACCACAGCUCACGGUGAGGCCAGGGAUUGAAUCCACACCCUCGUGGACACCAGUCGGGUUCGUUACCACUGAGCCACAACACGAACGCCAGUCUUUUUUGGGGGUAAUGGCCAUACCCAAGGAAUAUGGAAGUUCCCGGUCCAGGGAUUGAAUCUGAGGGACAGCUGUGACCUACGCUGCGGCUGCAGCAAUGCCGGCUCCUUAACCGAGGUCACUGGGCUGGGGAUCGAACCUCUACCUCUGAGCAACACAAGCUGCACCUGUGGUAUGUGGAAGUUCCCAGGCCAGGGGUCACAUGAGAGCUGCAGCUGUGGUCUACACCACAGCCAAAGCAACACCGGAUCCAAGCUACAUCUUCAACUACCCCAUGGCUCUCGGCAAUGCCGAAUCCUUAAUCCACUGCGCGAGGCCAGGGAUCAAACUCGCAUCCUCACAGAGACAGCAUCGGGUUCUUAACCCACUGAGCUACAGUGGGAACUCCAGGAGAUAAUCUUUACACUCAAGUAACAAGUGAUUUCUACCCAGUAAGACAUAAAACUUCCCCAUGAGUCAGAAGAAGAGACGUAGGAUGCAGUAAAAAUCUCAGCAAAAGACACGAGUAGAUAUUUGGCAGAAUAGGAAACAGAAGCAGCCCAUAAUCACAACCUGGUGAACAAGCGGGGACCAGGAAGGCAGCACAGCACAGCACCUCACACCUGCCAGAGCGACAGAAGUUUGAAGUUUGUGCACCGCUGUGAGGCUAGAGCUGGAACGAGCAACUCGGAUGGCUGCUGGGCGAGGUCACUGAGGGUGGACGUGCGCGCGCACCGCGAUUUGGCGCCACCGCCGCUGGACGGGACCCUACCUCGGCUCUCAGCCUGUGAGCUGUGCCCACGGCCAGGGUGGCUCUUGAAAUCAGGGGGUGACAUAAGCACGGCUGUGGCUUCAGGUUAUUCAACUGGUGCAGAUUGGUGCAGGUUGCCGCACCUGGCACGUGGCUGCCCCACCAGGGGAUGCCUCGUUUGGUUUGGGCAUGUUGGGUCUGUCCCGAGUGGCAGAAAACUAGAGGCCAUUUGCCAUUAGCUAGAGGGACAGGAGGGUGGUCUUGCCUUGGGACUGUGCAGGUGCCUGGGCUCUCGGCCACAGCCGAGUCCGCAGGGACCUUGACCACUGGUCCGACCUGCGCCCCGGCUCCCGACCCACACGCUGUGCUGAGGAAGGUGCAGAGUUGGAGGAAAGCCUGUGAAAACACGUCCUUGCUGGGUCCUGGGCACACAGGUGGGUCCCCUGUGUGGCCUUGUCACCUGCGCACAGCACCUCUGCAGGAAGCCGCUUCAGGGCACCGGCUCCGCUUCCGCCUGCAUCCAGGUGGCACGUCGGGUACAGAGCCAGUGGAGGUGCCCCGGUGGCUCCGGCAGCUGGAGAUGUUGGUCCCACGUGGGGGCACCGCCGCACUCUGCCAGGACCUCACCUCCCCUUUGCCCACGCAGCGUUUGGCUUCCCCCUGGGCUCAGGGAGAGGCUGACUCUGUCCGUGGGAAAGCAGGGUGCCUGGAACCGCUCAUCCUCUGGGUCAUGAAGCCGGGCAGGCCCAGCGGCUCCCCACUGCCCGUGACGCUGGGCGUCCAGACCCUGUGAGGUUCCUGAACCCACGGCGUUCAGGCAGCCCCUCCCCCAGUCACCCCUGUGCCACCCAGUGGCCCGCAUGUAAAGCAGACAGAGGGUGGCAAGGGGAGCUGCCCGGGGGCCUAGCCGUCGGGCCGACCUGGACAACCCCGCAGCCGGAUGACGGUUUCUCACAGCAGCAUCCAGUUCAGCACCCAGAUGCGGUGUCUUACCUCCUGGGAGCCGGCCUGCCACCUGCUCACAGGUUCACUGACUUUGAACCCUGUAUUGGUCAGGAUUCUCCAGAGAAACAGAACCAGGGGGCUGGUGUUCCCUGGGGGCUCAGCAGGUUAGGGAUUUGGUGUCGUCAUGGCCGUGGCGUGGGUUCGAUCCCUGGAAUUUCAUAUGCCGCGGGUGCAGCCAAAAUAAUACUAC